Molecule: long non-coding RNA, 1908 nt
Filed under: Arachis ipaensis
Lineage: Eukaryota; Viridiplantae; Streptophyta; Magnoliopsida; Fabales; Fabaceae
Description: long non-coding RNA (AIPA_LNC001790)
Source: RNAcentral
UUCAAUCUCUUCCACCGCCAUUACUCCUUUUCUCCUUUUAUUUUUUUGGUUGAACCAUAUUCAAUAUUCAAAUUGCAUAGUUUAGAAUCCCACUUUCUUUUCUCUAACUAUCACGAGCCUCCCUUCUCCACUCUCACCCACACCCACAUCCACCCUCACUUGUUGCAAAUCUUGGCAAACCACCGCUGACCAAACACAACUCUACCACGUAGUCUUCGGGAUUGCAGACUCGUCGAAGCUUUUGGAGUAGAGGAGGAACUACAUCAAACUAUGGACAAGGCGAGCGAGAUGUUCGACGUGGUAUGGCUUGACAACAAGGUUGGCUCCUGUGGGAAGGGAGAGCGGCUGCCGCCGGGGAGAAUCUCGGACAACACUUCAAAGUUUUCGCACACGAACCGUCAGAGACACCAUUCAGCGACCAGUCAGAGACGUCGGCACUGGAAAUGGGGAACGCGCGGACAACCUUGAUUCUUAGGGUUCCAGCUUGUUCAGAUUAUUCCAUUGAUUUUGGUAAUGGGGUGGCUGAAAGUUUGUAUUUUUCAAUUGUUUUCAACUUGUGUUAUUUCUUUGGUUUUUACUGAAAAAUGAGAAGACUAGAUUAAGAGUGAAAAAGUUCUUGCAUGUUGAUUAAUCACUAAUAAGCUAAACAUAGGAUUUAUUGAACUUGGGAGCCCAAUGUUUUGAUUGCAGUGAUUGAGGUUGUGAAAUUUGUGGAUAUUGAAGAUGUGCAUUGAUUUAGAGGAGGGUGGGUUUGAACUUUUAUAGCGUAUAGUCUCUAGUUCUGGUAAGAGAAAUUCAUAGGACGAGGAUUUCCAUGAUGAUUUUGGGUUUAUGGGUUGUUGAGAGUAAUUUUUGAAAAUGGGUUCAAUCGUCAUAGUGGUCAUGAUCAGAGUUGGGAGGGACCGAGGGAAGCUCUAAAAAUCUUUGGUUGGGAGAGGCAUAGCUUGAAGGAGGAAGAAAAAAGCAUGGAUUGAGAAUUCAUCUUUCAUGGUGGUGGAAGAGGCUGAAGGAAUCACAAGAGUGGAGGAGUUAAAAGGUUGGAGAUGAUAAAAAAGUGUAAUUUGGAAAUUUUAGCGGAUUUUUAACAGAGUUAACUUUAAAAGUAACAAUUUGAUAUUUUUGUCAAACAGAACUCAUUUUUCAUAGUCAUUUCGUUAGUUUAAUUUUUUAAAACAUAAGUAUAUUCUAAUAUAAACUCUAAAAUAUCAUCUAAACUAAUACUAAGAUCAAAACAAUAUAAAGAAAUCCAAUGUCAAGAACAAUGAAUUAAGAUAACAACAUAAACUAAGAUCAAAUCGACAAUAAUAAGAUUAAGAUAAAAAAUAAUUUAUCAAAUUAACAAGGUAUCAAAAUGUCAAGAACAGCACCACAACAACAAUUUAUCAAAUUAACAACUUAAUAAGAUCAAGAAUAUAACAAAACAAGUUAAUAAUCAAAACAAGUUAUAAUCAAAACAAGUUAAUCCAGCAAACCAACAACAAAACAAGAACUGGAAUAGCAACCAAAUUAAAGCAACAACCAACUAACAAUAACUGAAAAUCAACAGAGGAGCGAGAGGGAGCUGGAGCUUACCUGAGACUUUCACACGUUCUGAACAUCAACAGAGGAGGGAGAGGGAGCUGGAGCUUUAUAACUCAACGGAGAUGGCUAAACAGCGGCGGAACGGAGGCUGAACAGAGGCUAGAAGACGAGGGUUGGAGCACGGCGGAACAGAGGCUGCACGGCGGCGGGAGCACGGCGUAACGGCGGCGGAAGCACGGCGAAACAGAGGGGAAGCUCGUCAAAAUAGGCGGAAUAGAGGCGUUGCGACGAGUUGGAGCGACACGGACGGCAUCGGUGGCUGGACAGGUUGAAGAACGGCGACAAGAUGGAAGUUGCAACUUCCUCUGCUGCCUUCAGAGAUGGAGG